RNAcentral lists this long non-coding RNA (556 nucleotides) under Mustela putorius furo (domestic ferret). Its description in RNAcentral is "lncRNA (ENSMPUG00000028214.1)". Lineage: Eukaryota; Metazoa; Chordata; Mammalia; Carnivora; Mustelidae. The record is from RNAcentral.
GGCUCCCAGCUGAGCAGACAGCCCGAUAUGGGGCUCCAUCCCAGGACCCUGGGAUCAUGACCUGAGCCAAAGGCUCAGGCAUGAAGCAGAGGCAGAGGCAGAGGCAGAGGCUUUAACCCACUGAGCCGCCCAGGCGCCCAGAGUGCUGGUAUUAUCCCCAUUUGAUAGAUGAAGAAAUUAACAUGCUGAAAGGUUGAAAAGCCUGCCGAUACCAUAUGCUAGUGAGCUGCAGAGCUGAGACCCAGGGCAGGCUCUGGGGUCUGUGCUCUUCCCACCACACAUUGCCUCUCAGUAUGGAAAAACGACAGGAAGGACAUUCCCUCAAAACCUUGUCUCUAGGAGAGCCUUCCAUGAUUCCUAAAGAUAGUGCGUCUCUUCUUCCUGCCAUGAGUGUUGCUGCCCAUCUUUCUGUCCACACAGCUUCUGACCUGAAGUACUGAGAGCUCAGACGUUGGAGCGGGCCAAGAAAUGGAGAGCUUGGAUCAACAGACUAGCAAGGAAACUGAGGGUGGACUCUGGGUGUCUACCUGGGUGAUGAACACUUUAAAAAACUGAU